UCAUUUUGUUCCCUUAACGACAUAUUCUGUAUCACAGAAAUUUUUUGACAUGUUUAAAAUCACACGUGUCGUAAUGUUUGCCCAGUAAAAAAAAAAGGUAGUGCUGUUACAGAGACAGCGAUUUAGCUUCAUUGCAAACCGUAGUGCUUCUAUAGGAAGUAAUUCCUAGCGCGUCUGCCUUGAAAGCUAAGUCAAACAAAGGAGAAACAGUAAAAUGUAUUAUAUUAUCAUGCAUCCUAUAUCCAUAUUGUUUUGCAAGUUGAUCCGCCACCUCAUUUUGUUUCUUGUAGUUGCGUUCAUUCAAAGGUUCUCUUAGUUGGUUCAGCAAUGACCUGCAACCAUGAACAAUGUCAGAACAAUGUAAGUUAUUGUCGCGGAGGAACAAUGUAAGAGAGAUACUUGGGAGCAUCGACUCUUUUAUGGAUGAUAGGGCAACAAAAACCUUUUGUUCAUUUGACUGUAUGUUUGCACUAACAUUAAUAGAGGAAGGUAUCAAAUAUUAUAAACUUCAGUACGAAGGUAGUGCUGGGUGCCACAUUUACAAUUUGAAAAAAAGCAAAGAAAAAGUGUUUCCUUGAUUCUUCCUACAAGGAUUCUAAAACUUAAAACUUCUAAACAGCAUUCGAACUAUUUGCAAGAUUUUCGUUACACCCAAAACAGAAAAAGAAAAUAUCAUUCAUCCAUCCCCCAAUUUAAUACGAACUUCUGCUUUGAAAGGUCAAUAGACCUAUGACUGUUCUCCAUACCUCCAUAAUUAUUUCAUUUUUCAUUUAGUGAACUUGAAUUAUGUUUGCUUUAAGUUUUUUAUGCCCAAGCCCCCUUCCAUUUCACUAGAUUAAAACACCUCUUAUCUCUAUCUCCUUGCCAUAUAAAGUUCCUUAUUAAAGCAUCAGUCUUCUUUUCAAUUUUUACUGGUAUAUUUGGCAGAUAGCUUGAUUAGUUAACAAUGUACUUGACUCAUUAACCAUCAAUAUUUCAUGUUGCAUCCAUUAUCUAUCUACCACAAAUAAAAGUGAUUUGAUGAGUGUCUUAUCAGUUUGUCCACCAUUUUUUUGAGUCUCUAGAUACCAGCUUAGAGUACCAGAAAUUAUGCCCUAAAGGACAUGUGUGGGAGCUGUCAUUAGCGUGAAAAUAGUCGUAGGAAUUGUUUCCCACAACAAUGAGUUUACACCAAGGAGAACGAAACGAGCCCCUACGUGUUUACCCUAGUCUAGACAAGUUAGCAAAUACAGUACAAGAUGAAGUCCCAUGAUGUAUGCUAUUUGCUAAUGAUUUGUGUUAAUUGACAAAUCUAGCAAGGGUGUCAACCAAAAGCUUGACUUAUGGAGAAAAACGUUAGAAAGUAAGGGUUUUGGGAUAAGUAGAAGUAACAGAAUGAAAUUACAAAUGAAGGUGUUACUCGUUAAAAUCAGAUGGUUGAAAUGAAGAAGUGCUAUCAAGUGAAAUGUGAUAGAAGGAUGCCUACCAAAUUGAAAGUUAAAAAGUAUAUAGAACAACUAUAAGACUUACAAUGUUAUAUGGUGGUUGAAUGUUGGGUCGCUAAAGAUACAAUCCAAGUUCACUUGAGAUGGUUUGAACAUGUUUUACAAAUGCACUAAUUCGUUGGUGUGAAACAAUAGUAAGUGAAAGUGUUGAAAAGAGAUGGGCAAAUCUAAAAUGACAUGGAAGAAAGUCUCGAAAGACCUAUAAAUGCAUGGUGUUAAUGCAGACUUAGCUAACAAUUAGGCAUAAUAGAAGAAAAAGAUCUAUAGAGGUGAUAAGCUACUAGUUGAGAAUAGAUUUUAGACUUGUUAGAUAAAUUCUAAUAUUAUUAUUAUUAUUAUCAUUAUAUAUCCAUAAACAGCCUCUUAGGGAACUUUCACAAAAAUAAAUUAUUGCAUGUACCCAACAUCCCAAAACAGGGGUAACCCAAUACUGUCCUCCAGUUGUACUGAAAGAAGUCUGAAAUAGCAAAUCACCCAAGAAAUUUGCUGCUCCAACCGUUUCGUGCAGCAAUCUUGAUUGCCAGCAUGUCCAUUCUUGUCUAAACAUAUUUGCUCUAUCAUCAUCUCAUGAAGCAUUUCUCAUUUAGUCAUUACCUACUGAUGGCUAACAACUUGCUAUUGUUGACGUGUCAUUGUUGUUGUUAGGAUUAUUUUAUCUAGUACCAUUCUACAACUAAACAAUUGUUUUUAACUUUAUGGGAGAAGAGAGAGGGCAAGAAAAGUUUGACCCAAGAAAUUGGAUGCCUCUUUGGUUUUUAUCAUAUUCAAUAAUCGGAUCCCAAUACUAACCUUAUUUACCCCAACCACCUACUGCUAGUUCCUUAACUCGCAGCAAGCGUUAUGCAUCUUUUCUCUAGUAUGCAUUUAUGUUAUACUAGUCAUGUUUAAGAAAUUCUCUUCUUUAUCUGUUUUUUUUUUUUUUUGAGUGAGGUGGGUAGGUUGAAGGUAUUCCAAGGAGUCUUAUUUUGAAAACUAAGACGGGUCAACAGAAUGGAGUUUGGAUAAACAAUACGAUUUAGUAAGGGAAAACUUGAACAUUGGACCAUAAUGCAUGGCUACAUGCAUUUGGGUUUUCAUCCUGAAAUAUCCCCUUGUUAUUCUUUGUCUGAAGUCAGGUUGUAUGUUUCAACAUUCAAUAACUAGUAUAGAAUUGAGAAGCAACAUAGACAAUGCCUACAGAAAUAACGUGUGAUGAAGAUAACACACUUAGAUAUAUUCAUUAGAGCAUGUUCACCAUAUCUCUCUUGUUUUGCUUUAAUAUUAAGCAUGAAGGCAACAGCCACAACUAAUGAGUAUUUCAUACCUUGAUGAUUGGUACAUGAAAGUAGAGUAAAAGGAGCAAAACAGACUUCAGUGACAUACCUUAAAGACAGUACCAUUCACUUUGUAAAGGUUUUGUGCGCUAUCACUCCCAAGUCCAUUCAACUGACAAACACAGAAAAAGGAAUCAAAUACCAGAAUUGCAGCCAUCAGAUUAAUAAGAGGCUGCAAAAGAUAUUACCUGCGUUGUUCAAUUUAUGUCCUUUCUUAUAAGUAGAUAAUAAAGACACUUCUGAAUAUAUUUACUUUGACAGCAUGAAGUCGGUGAUUGAAAGAUACAACAAAACAAAGGAGGAGAAUCAUCAAUUGGCAACUCCAACUUCUGAGGUUAGGGUAAGUUUCACUGGUUAAUUUGCAGUCAACUAAUCAAAGAAAAAUAUGCAUAGCUAAGCUUUCUAUCAUAACCACUUCAUGUCGUUGGACAUAAUCUAGGCAAUAUCAAGGGACUUGUUGAGUAAUUGAGGCAUAGAAUUAACAACCUAAAAUCUCAGGUUCAAGGCCUUCUAUAACACAUAAUAUACACAUAUCUACUCAACCAUGGUGAGCUGAUUUCUGGACAUCUGUAAGGUAGGCUGCAGCAAGCUUUUUGGUGAGAUAGUCAAGGUGCGAGCAAAUUGAUCCAGACACCACUAUAAUAAGUAAAAAUUCUGUUCAAAGUUAACAGAAUAAUUAAAUGGUAGAGAAUAUUUUUAGUGAUUAUAUUAUAGAUGAAAGUUAAGAGGAUCAUUAAGAAUUAUAUGGAAAAUAUUCUUAGUGAUUAUAUGAUAAAUAUAGGAAACCAUAGAAACAAAAAGACUUCCCUCAUACAAGCAGCCCUCUUGAUAUUACCAACCAGUGCCAACAAGAAUAUCUUUUCAUCUUCUUCUCCUACUUAUUGGGCGUAUUAGGCUUCUAGGAAAUUUGUAGAAACCUAAGUGAAUAUAUAUUUGGAGAUUUUAUUACUCAUCUCUUUCUGAUUGAUCAUUCUAGGAAGUACCAUUCUUACUUCCAGCGAUCAUUUAGGCAGCACUAUGCUUUUUCAGGAGCCAUAACUCUUUCCAGAGAACAUUUGAGGCACCACACUGAUGUAUUUCAGGCAACCAUCUAUUCCUAGAGAUUUGUGUCACCAUAUCACUUCUCCCUAAAUUAGAAAAAAACAUUUCCCUAUGGGCUGUAAGGACACUUCUUUGGCUACAUCGACAACAGUCUGUGAGAAAGAAUAAGACCUUUUACGGCGAAUGUCACUAUUCCAGCAACUCAUUUCAGAUGACUGUCAAUUAUUCUGGUGAGUUCUAAUACAGUGCAAGGUGGCAUGUAAUCCUAACAUUGUUUUUGAUAAGUAGAAUUUAUUCAUAGAAACAGCAACAAUCAAGUAUUAAACCUGUAACAGAAGUUUGACUCAACUCCUAUCCAAGAUACAAGGAGUCUAUAUGAAGUCCAAAAGUGUUAUCAAGAUAAUUUUUACUGAGAAUUAUUCUAAAGGUUUAUACUAUAGUCUAGAGAACUAUUAAUUACUAUGUCAAAAUUGAAAUCCUCAAUGAGUAUGGUUCCUUAGUCCAUAGAAACUCCUAAGAGUCUAGUGUUUUCCUAACAAUAAAAGCUUAGUUAGGGUUCCUUACAUGAAUUAUGGUGUACUUCUGUGUAUACGACUUUGUGAAAAGGAUUUAAAAGAUAUUAGCACCUAUGAUGAAGGGAAAUAGAAUUUCGGAAACAGCCGUUCUACCUCUGGGCUCGGAGGUAGAGGUCAGGGCUGUGUUCACUCUACCCUCCCCAGAUCCCACUCCGUGGGACUAUAUUGGGUAUGCUGUUGAUGUUGUUGGAAUGUCAGUCAUAGGGUGGAGAAUCUUAUAAUAAGAGGGCUAGUGACUAGUCAAGUCAAAAACCUAGUUUGAUCUACAUGACUGGUUAUAUGGGUAGCCGAAUGGUAAUAAAAUAUUAACUAUAAAGGAAAACAACAAAAACGCUAGAAAGAGUCAAAAUGAAUAUUGAUAAUAUAUCUGUGAAUUUACACUAUUCCGAUUUAAUUAAUUCUAUUUAUACCAUGUGAGUCCUCCAGUUUUACCACUUCUAAGUUUCUAUGUGAUCUGGUUAGAUUGCAUGAGCCUGGUCCUAAGUUUGUAGUAUCCUACCACUCAGAUUGCUAUUUUGACAGUUUAGGAAAAGAAUAAAAUGCACAUUAAAGUACGUUGCUUUUGUUCUCACCAGAAAAGUGGAAAGAGAAAAAUGAAUUUUCAUCCCUUGAUAAAUCAGAUAACUUAUCCACCUUCACUUCCUUGGCUCAUUUGGUACAACGAUUCCUCAUUGCCCUGCCUUUCUGCCAUACUCAACACUUGUCUGUCCAAAUGGUCGGUCUAGCCAUAUGUUGGGUCAAAACUGAAAAUAGAAGAAGUGAGGGAAUGAUCUUAAAGGUUUCAUAUUAUCACCAACUCUACUGGAAAGGUCAAACUGUGUUUCCAAGGGAAAUAGAAUUAGGAGACGGAAGCAGGGUAACAGGGACAAAAGCGAAGAGACAAAACAGAAUCCUGCAAGAAGCAAAAGAUUCUUAUAGUUAACAGUUAGUUGUACAGCUGAAGAUGCUGGAAUGGAGGCUAAAGUUUGAAAACCAAUAUUUAAGAUGGAAGGAAGAUGCUUUAUGAGAAAAUAGAAACAUUCAUCCAAACUGGUGUCUUAUAAACCACGGGCAAUCCAAUACAUUGACAGAGAACAGGAGCUAAGUAUUCCAUUAUUACUGAUCUGGCAUGAAAUGCUAUCCAUUGAAAAUGUAACAAAACUUCACCUUUUCAAGAUUUAACUGGAGAGACGUCACAUAAGAAUAGAUCAGGGACUAUGGCUUUAAUUUGUCUAGCAAUCACAGCAUAGCUCAAGAUAGAACUGUCUUAUAGUUCACACUACACAAUUACUUUGAAGCAUUUUGUAUCAUAUCAAGCAAAAACAUCUUCAGCUAAACAAUUUUCAUAUAACCCCUACAGUCUGCAUAUUAACGCGAAAAAAGAUUCUACACAGACACAGCCUGAUUUCCUGCAAGAGCAAUUAAAGAAAGGGUUUUCAUGCUCUUGAGAGGGGUACAUGAUUGGAAAAACAAAACCACGUGCUACCUUUUUACUGACGAUCACCAUUAUCAACUUCAAGGAUUUAGUAGUCUGCCUAAUCCAGCUGUACUUGAAAAAUUGGCCAUCUUUUAAAUUACCUUUACAGUGUAAAGGUUCUAUUGUGGGAAAAGUUCUAGUAAGACAGGGACUUCAAAGGCUGCUUAUCCUCCAGCCCCCUUCUAACUAGUGUCAAAAUCUUAAAACAAAAUCUUCUGAAUCUUAAUCAUUUGAGCCAUGCCAAUUCAACAAGGAGAUUCAAUUUGUGGUAGAGGUAGUAAUGAUUUCUUUCCGGUGAAGCCCAUUUCUUGAAAAUCGUCUGCUAGGGCACACUAUCUGUUGUCAAAUAUCUACCAAGAUGACAGCUGGUGUUAACCUACACCUUGAUCAUUCCUAUGUUCACAUAUAAGUUCAGGUACAGCAAGGAGCUUUUGGAUAUGGUAUUGGAAGAUAAUUCCUGGUAGAUUGAUCAUGGAAGCAGCACUUGACCCCUUUUAAUAAUAAGACUGGAUAGACCACCCUAAUUUAAGACAUAACUAAGAAUUCUGCUCGGGGGUUAAUACUGCCAUCAUGACAUAUUGCACUCAUUUUCAUAGCACACUCUUCCAAUGGUACACAAAUCCAGGAACAGAAAAUCUCGUCUAGAGCUGCUUUACGAUCUUCAAGUGGGGUAACUAUGACGCAGCUGUAAUUUUAUUUUUUUUGUACAACUGUAAUUAAUCAUUUACAGAACAUCAAAUUUAAUUACUCCUUACUGUACCAGACAUCAUAGUUUAUGACCAUCAACUUCAAGGCCUCCAAAACAACAAUAGCUUAUAAUUUUAUCCCUGAUAGCAUAUUGUCGAACAAAAUUGUUAAUGGUAGGAAGCAACAAAUAUAAAAACGACGCCUUGUGGCAAUCUCAAGGAAGUAACUCUAAAUUGAAGUUACACAAUCUUAAGGGUACAUAUGGAUCUAAUUCCCAGACCACAAGGAGGGGGACGGCUCAAUUUAAAUCUAAGUAGCACCCAUUACAUCUAGGCUUGGUUUCCUAUUGAUUUCACAGCUAGUUUUAUCAAGCAUGCAGAAAUAUCCAUUAGUUUCUCCUAUGAUAAUCCAAAACCAUGUAUUAAAAUAUAAUUUCCUGUUAGCAGUUUUGGCAAAGGGAAGCGGCAAUGCUGAGGCAACAACUACAGAACUUGCAAGAGAAUCACCGGUAAACUCUCUUGUCAUAUGUUAGAUAUAUUUCUUACUUCCACAAAUAACUUAUUCAAUGAUCUAUAGCACAAACACAGGGACUCUUGUCUCCAUUGUAAGUUUUAAGACAUUAAAGUAAAAAUUACUCCCUUCAUUCACUUUUACUUGUCACAUUUGGAAUUAGCACACCCAAUAAGAAAACAAUAAUUGACAUGGCUAUUUUACCACACUACCCUAUUAAUUGAUGUUUAGUAUUAAGUGUUGAAAAAUGAUCUGGGAAUAUGUAAUCAAUGCUAAGGGGAAGACAUGGAAAAAAUUUAUUGUCUUUUCUUGAUAUGUUAAAGGUGAAGAGUAAAAGUAGGUUUGGGGGUUUCACAUGAAUCCCUAUUAAUUGAUGUUUAGUAUUAGGUCUUGGAAAUGGUGUUAUCCACUUUAAUGUUGAGGGACUAGGAAUUAGAGAUUUUAGAAUGUUCAUAAACUCUACCAGGAAAGUUGGUUUGGGGUUUCACAUGGAACUCAACCGUUGUGGGCAUCGACAAGUAUGCUAUUAAAUGGGAUAAUGAGGACCAAUCAUAUUGAGCAUCUCUUUAGAGGAUAUUGGGAAAAUGUGGAGAGAUCCUAUCUAAGUGAAAAUUUAUAUAUACUUUUUUGAAAACUACCCAUCAAAGCGACAAAUUUAAAAGGGGAGAGGGGUUUUGUUGUGUGUGUGUGUGGGAGGGGGGGAGGGGGGCUAGGCUAUUGAAACUAGAAUCAAUGUCUUGAAAUAGAGAGGGUAGAGUCGUUGAUUGUGUUAAGUUUUCUGAUCAUUUUUAAUACUUUCAACCAACAGAUAUUAACAGUUGUCGACAAUUUUUUUAUUUUCUGAAAUGGUAACAUAAUAAUUGUCCACAAUUAUAGAGAAUGGGGGAGAAUUUUAUAGGACCUAUUGCUUGGAUCACCAUACAUGCAAAGAAAAUACAGAAAUACUCCCAAUUCACAUUAUUUUGUAGUUAUUACUACUCGUUUCUGUAUUUUCUUUUUUCAAACUACUUGGAAAUGCUUUGUUUUAAGCGGAGGGUCUAUCGGAAACAGUCUCUCUAGCUCUAACGAGGUAGGAGUAAGGUCUGGUUACACUCUACCCUCCCUAGACCUCAAAUGUGGGAUUACAUUGGGCAUGUUGUUUUUGUUGUUCUUUCUUUAGGUAGGAAUUUUCCCAUAACAUUAGUAUACGUUGAUUUCAUCAACAAUGUUCCUAGGCAAAAUAAAAUAUCUCCUCCAUUGCACUACUUAAAAUAUUUAACUAUUGUGAUCUUUUGGAUCGAUGGUGUUAUUUCUUUUUAUUUUUUGGGGGUUGGGGGGAAUAAAGGUAAUAUUUGAGGGUUUUACUUUUCUGUCUUUAAAUGGAUGGAGUGAGGAAAUAGAGAAAUGUGUAUUAAUUGACACUAAUUCCCGUGAUAGCUAUUUUGUUCAUAAUCCUGAGCUUUCUUUUGACACUACAGAAGUUCCGUUAAAACAUGUCCUGUUUUUCUUCGUUUCACUCGCUUUUUGACAGAACAUUUUGUUAACGAACUUAACUCUCCUUUCUCUGCUUCUCCCUUCCUGUCCCUCAAAACCCUUGAAGAACAAAAAAAAUUGAAUGUACCUCCUCUUCUCUCCUCUCAUUUCUAUCUGUCUUUCAAUUCUAUAGCUCUAUCAGAACCCAACACCCACACCCCAGUUUUCUUUUUCUAUGUUCAGUGGGCAGUAGAAAGAGAGAAAAGGAUAGUUCUAGUAGUGAUACAAAAGGUGUCUCAUCAAGGAUGCCGUUUGGAAUGUUCCUUCAAUAUCUUCAACAGUAUAGGCAUCCUAAGCCAACCACAAGAAAAUGCAUGAAACUAAGAACUAAACUAUCACCACCUUGCUGGAAAAAAGCAAGUGACACUAGAUAGCUUGUAACAUCAGUUCACAAAAUAGAAUAUGACAGAGAUAUCUGCUCUAGGUUAUCCUUAAAAAGAUUAUAUCUGUAAGUGCUGACAGAAAGGAUACUCAGAUUAUUUCAAGCUACUGGUUUUACAAUCAAAAGGAAGAGGCACUCAGGACCAUGGUUGUAACCCUUCAGAUCAGGGUUUUGAAGGAUCAAACAACAUUCGGUCUCUCUUAUGAAUUAAAGUAUUAGCAUGGACUUCUAGGGUGUGUCUGGUAUGGAGGAAAACAUUUUCUAGUAGAAGUGGCUUCUUGUUUAUUUUCUUGUGUUCGGUAUGCAAGUAAAAAUUUAUAAUCCUAAAAGUAUUUCUAUAUAUAUCUAAGACAAAACUAUGACUCUAUGAGGGUGGGGGUGGAGGAAUUCAGGGGUGGGCUGGGUGGUUGUGAGGAGACAAUGUGAUUUGUUUUACCUACUUUCAUUAGGAAAGUUAUUUUCCAUAUUAUUUUUAUUAUGACAAGGGAAAGCCGCAGUCGUUACCCUUUGGGCGCGCACAGGGUAAAACCCCCGCUCCUAUGCAAUAGCUCGCAAACCACAUAGGAGAGGUAACCCGCACUAGGCAAGCCCGGUGCGAUGAGCUCGAUCUAGAAGGCAAACCCCUUGCUUUCGCUGGCAAGGGGUUUCGAACUUGAGACCUCCAACAUGGAAGUCCUAAGCCCAAACCACUGGCCAACCCCAAAGGGUCAUUUUCCAUAUUUUCAAGGAGAUUGUUUUCCUAAAGAAAAUAUUUCUCAAAAUUUUUGGUCAACUGAACUGCAGUGAAUCAUGCAAUUCACUGGAGGAUUCUGUAAAGAUGUCUUCACUAUAUAAUCCCAGCAAGCAACUCAAUGUUGGGGAGUGAAAAUUCAAUAAUAAGCACACCUCAAAUGGUGUUAUAGAUUUCUUCCAGAGCUCCAUCAAACUGUUUAACAUCAACCCCCACCCACACCCANNNNNNNNNNNNNNNNNNNNNNNNNNNNNNNNNNNNNNNNNNNNNNNNNNNNNNNNNNNNNNNNNNNNNNNNNNNNNNNNNNNNNNNNNNNNNNNNNNNNNNNNNNNNNNNNNNNNNNNNNNNNNNNNNNNNNNNNNNNNNNNNNNNNNNNNNNNNNNNNNNNNNNNNNNNNNNNNNNNNNNNNNNNNNNNNNNNNNNNNNNNNNNNNNNNNNNNNNNNNNNNNNNNNNNNNNNNNNNNNNNNNNNNNNNNNNNNNNNNNNNNNNNNNNNNNNNNNNNNNNNNNNNNNNNNNNNNNNNNNNNNNNNNNNNNNNNNNNNNNNNNNNNNNNNNNNNNNNNNNNNNNNNNNNNNNNNNNNNNNNNNNNNNNNNNNNNNNNNNNNNNNNNNNNNNNNNNNNNNNNNNNNNNNNNNNNNNNNNNNNNNNNNNNNNNNNNNNNNNNNNNNNNNNNNNNNNNNNNNNNNNNNNNNNNNNNNNNNNNNNNNNNNNNNNNNNNNNNNCACCCCCCCCCCCCCCCCCCCCCCAAGAAACGAGAAGUCACAGUUGUUUAAAACAGGAUGUAUAAGUCACAUACAGUCAACUGUCAAUUUCUCUGUUGGAAUCACAUGUUUCUUAACAGUUUAUUUCUGCAAUAUAGACAAAUGAUGGGUGAAGAGCUUUCUGGUCUGAGCGUCAAAGAUUUGCAGAACUUGGAGAACCAACUGGAAACGAGUCUCCAUGGUGUUCGUGUAAGAAAGGUAUGAAAUUUCCAGAUCCAACAAAUGUUCACUAUAUUAAUUAAAUAAAAACUAACUCUACCCCCACAUGUCUACAGGACGAAAUUCUGAUUGAUGAGAUACAAGAACUAAACCGAAAGGUCAAUCAACAUAAAAUGCAGAGACUCUUAUCAAUUUAUUCUAAUCUAAAAAGUAUAACUUCUCAAGAUACUAAAUUAAUAUUUUUCCUUGCAGGGAAACCUCAUUCAUCAGGAAAACAUGGACCUAUAUAAGAAGGUAAACCUAAUUCGUCAAGAAAAUAUGAAAUUGUGUAAGAAGGUAUCAAUGUACAUCACUAAAAGCUUUCACAUGCUUCAAGAUCAAUUAUUUCCUUUUGUUUUCUUAUACCAAGUGAAAGAGUCAACCAUUCUUCUUAGAACUCUGGCAAAUUGUUUCUACAUUGUGUUAAACUACAGGUUUAUGGAAAUAGAGAUGCAAAUGGAGUGAGCAGAAGUCCCCUUGUUGCGAACAGUUUAAGCAUCAAUGAGGACCUUCAUGCUCCUGUUCAUCUCCAGCUUAGCCAGCCACAGCAACAGAACUAUGAGGCAUCGGGAACUACCGAAUUGGGGUAAUUUCUUGCUCAUAUGCUUCAUCUGGAAGCACAAUGGUAAUUCACUAACCUGAUCAUUGACUAUCGUCUUACUGGAAAAUGCUGCAGGCUACAACUGCAUUCGCAGUGAAAACCAGCCUCGUAAGAGUUUUCUGUUCUCAUGUUGAAGAAGCAGCUGUGCUUACAGAGCUAUGUUUUAACUUUUAAUGGUAGUAAUGAUAUAGAACCCAGAGAUGUCAGGAAAAAAUCUUCAGUUCACAAGGUUUAUGACAUCAAGUUUGACAAGUGUGAGGUAAUCCUUAGCACAACUACUUAAAGUAAGAUAACAACAAAUAAAGGAAUACAUUGGCACAGUAUCUCUACAUAUCUUUAUCUUUCUUCGCACUUCAUGCUUAUGAUGUGUAUGCCCUGUAUACUAGGAUUGUACUUGAUGACGUUUUCAAAUAGCUAUAAAUAGUUGACUACUUAAAACAGGGGUGGGAGCAAAGAAAUGCAAUCAGAAAAAGGAUAUACAUAACAGUAACUCCUCAAAGAAAUUCCUUGAGAAACACACCACAAGCAAACAGUACAAAGCAGAGCUAAGAAACUUAAUAAAGUAAGCCAUACCGCAUUGUUGCAUCAAUAUGCUUUGCGUGCAAUAGUCUUUAGCAAGGGACAGAUUAAAUUCAUUUCACACCAGUGUCGAACUUCAAAUUCAAGUGCUAAACAAAAAAGAUACAACAAGCAUUUGUAUUAGUAAUGCUCUUCCCAGAAAUUUUAGAAUGGAUGAUCAAAUAAUAUAUGAAGCAACAACAACAACAAUAUACCUAGUGCAAUCCCACAGGUGAGGUCCGGGUCGGUAGACUGUACGCAGACGUUAUCUCUAUCUCAUGGAGGUAGAGAGGCUGUUUCCAAAAGACACUCGCGCUCAAGUAACAGAUAAUAUAUGGAGCAUGCUCCACAAACAGUCUUUUCUGCCGAAGACAGUAAGUACUUCUUAAACAAGCUAUUUCUGGAUCACAAGGAUUCCAAUGGUAAACCUACACGAAUGCAUGCACUAUCAACAACCAAAUUUUCUAUACUACAGAAGACAGACUCUCAUCAAAUGACCUAUUUGUACAGCAAUGGAUUGCAUACUAAAUUAACAUGGAAGAAACAUGUUUAGGUCAUGAUGUGUGUGAGCAUAAAGUCCAUCGUAGGCAAAACUUCGUAUUACUUUGGAGAGUACACAUAAACAGAACAUGUCAUCUAAAAGGAGUAAAGUCUUCACCACGAAGGAUUAUUCAUCUUCUAUCAGGAGAUAGUUUACAAGAACGUAAAUGAAGGAAUAACUGUUACCAUUGACAAAAAAAGUGAAUGAAGGGCUAUUAGGUAGUGAAUAGGACUAGGACAUUAAUAAGGCAUAAACUCCAUGGAAGUUAUCAAACUUUAGUGCGUCAGGUACUAUGUAUUGACAAGGUAAAUGGAAUUUAUAAAACUAGAAAUUUGAAUCUAAUUGAACAGCAAAACUGCAAGCAUGCUAUGUUAUACUACAAAAGAAUAUGAUACCAUUAAUUUAGGAAUUCUGGAAAACUGUAAAAGAGAAGAUUUGUUUUAGAUUUUAGUGGAAUAAUCAGAGCACGAUAGAGCAUCUUCUACAAUGCCAAUACUUAAACCGAUUGGAACAUUUAUUACAACCAAUGCUCAAUAACAGCAGCAGCAGCCAUUUCAAACAGUGAGAAUACAAGACAUAAUUUAACAAUGUCCUUUGUGUCAAGAUUCUCAGUUCAAGACAAAUAGACACAAAAGAGGGGGAGAUUAGGUUCCAUUUUGACUAGCACCUGGAUAACAAUGAAGAUGAUUCUCACAUCUCCAUGUGGUGCAGUAAGGUUCUUAAAGUUGCAUGAACGAACAAAUUCUGAGGAAACUGGCCUGACUCAAGAGAAAAAAUGGAUCAUCUAGAGUUACUGCAGUAGUAUGUCUGCUAAAUAACAAUUUUCAUCAACGUAGUAAAAAGAUCAAAAAAUUUCCAAACAAGUUGGACAAGGAUAGCGUCUUCCACACAGCAAAGAUCUAUAACACCACAUUUGAGUGAGAUGACAUGGUACUCUCUCAAACACCAAAUUGUCUUUUAGCAACAUAAUAUGUCCAAUCCAAGUAAAUAAAACUACAGAAAGGUAAAUAUGCUAGUCGGCACUGUUACAACCACAGCAUUAAUAAGUUACCCUAUUGAUGGGACAGGCCUGGAAAUAGUGUUACUUAAUUUAUCUCUAAACAUCAUUUGUACUGCCUAAAGUUCCAGUUUGAGGUGUCCUUGCAAUAUAGUAUGAGGUGAUUCCAAGCUUUCUUUCCCCAUUUUUUUAAAAUUUCACAAACUCUUUUUAACUUUAUAAACGGUUUAACCUUCUACAACCAUUCCAAAAAUGUGACAUUGCUUUAAGGUAGGUGAACCAUAAACCUUUACAUGCCUACAAUACCCAAAAUCUCGAUGACUCUUGGGUGUCCCAGAUCACACACCUCUUUAUUCAAGAGUUUAUGGAAGUAUGUCUGCCAUCUACACCUAAUAAGAGUCCCAUCCACCAAUACCGUGUCAUCCUCAUCUUUGAUGCACUUCACUUGCUCCAAGUCACAAGUCUUCUCCUCUCUCACCUUGGUUGUCGUGUACAACUGCUUGUCCCAGCCUAUGUCCCCAAGUUCUUCAUACAGACGUCCAAAACCCCUGCAGUCUUUGCUGCCUUAACUGCUAAUUUCACCUCCUUCCUCACUUUCUUAUACUCCUCCUUGUUCAUCCUCUUCUCCUCAUUGUCUUUUCUUUCUACUAUCUUCACAUAUGCUGCUUUCUUGGCGUCCACUUUUCCUUGGACCUCUUCAUUCCACCACCAAUCCUCUUUUGUGUCCACUGGAGUAACCCUUCAAGAUCUCUAGCACCGCUCUAGCUGCUCCCUUAAUGUAAGUCACAGUCAUCGACCACAUGCUACUCGUGUCCCCACUGCUCCUCCAGGUCCCCAUUGCUAUCAACAUCUCCACAACUCCUAAGUAUUAUCCUAAGUCAACGCACCCCACUUGAUCUGCCUUGAUCUUUGGGUGACCAUACACGACACUUUUCUCCUCUUCCUCGUUAUUACGAUGUCUAUCAUAACCAUCUUAUUUUGCUUAUAAGUCAUAUUCACAGUUAAGUCAUGUGAAUCUAUUGUAUAAACAAUAUGGUAACAAGUCAACUUUAUUGCAUUAACAAGACUAACUAUAACUGAAUUAUAUCAGUAACAGAAGUAUCAAAUUUGUUUCUUUUAUCCCUCUGAACCUAAAACUUCCUCUGACACAUUAACAAAAGGGUCCUCUAAACCUAAUACUUACUCUGUCACAUUUACCUAAGGGGAUACUAUUACUUUUUGGGGAGUCAGAGGUUUUUCUUUUACGACAAGCUUUUAUAAAAAAUUACUAAAUAUUUUGAUCUAUUAAUUUUUGUGACCAACCGCACUUGUUUCACAAUUUUCACUAUGUAAAAUUUAUGUCAAAUUCUUGAUGAAUCUAUGUCUAAAUCCACACUGAAAAUUAGGUAUUUUGACCCUCAUACUAUAAAGCAGAGGAAGUGUUAUACAAUAUAUAAGAUCACUUGGAACUUCUAUGAUGCACUUUACAAGGAUGUGAUUAAAUGAAUGCACUAAAGCUUUCCAUCACAUCCAGAACUAUCUGUGGAAUGGAAACUGGACUAGCUCAACUAGGACCAACUGAUCCGUCAUUUACCAAAACGCUAACAUAGCUCACUAGCCACCAAAUCUAUGAGGUAGAAAUCCAUCUCAAAAUGAGACUAGGUUUAACACAACAAAAACAAAGUAUUAUUGAAAUCUUGAAACUCACCAGUUGCAUAAACAACUGAAUUUUCUAUUUGCCAACCAUUAUCUAAUUUUAUAAAAACAAGAGUCUCAAUAACUUAUGGUUUAUGGUUUUUAAAGAUGAGGAAUAUUUAUAUGUUCCAAUAAUUAAUAUUUUACAGGUUACUUUAAGUUAUGUCUUACGUUAUUAUUAAUCUACAACCAUUUCAUUUGACCAACAGCCAAAUCAAAUUUCAAGUAAGACUUUAUAUUUUUUUGACUUUAAUGAGAAAAAUUGUUCUUUUCUUAAUGUUUCAAAUUAUUACUAAUUAUUUUCAAUAAUAUCUCAAGCAACAAAUUAUAAGAACAUUCUGCCCUAACCUUCACAAAAGUAAACCUAGGUCAGUAACCAAAAUAGGAGGCAACAUAAGAAAGUAUUUUGGUAGAAGCAGUUACUGUAAUGUGAUAACUUUCAAGCGAAAGGUUGCUAGUGAGCUAAAGACAAAUACAGCAAAUAUAGAAUGAUCACUUAAACUUUAAAAUUCAUCAAGCUGAGAGAUAUAAGCUUCAUGAUUAAUCCUUCUUGUUCCAAAAAUAAAGCUUUGAGGAGUUAUCCAUGUGUGUACAGUGUCAUAUCAGUCCAUACACUAACAAGUAUUUUGAAAUUACAGGUGAACAACAGUUUGAACCUGUGCGUGGUAGAUUCAUAAAUCACUGUCUUAAUCCAUAUGGCUACAUCCACUCCCUCACCUUCUUAAGUUCCACUUUUACAGAUUUAAAUUGGAAACAAAAUAUUCAAGUCAAAUAUCUAUCAUCUUUCUUAUUUCAAUGAUGUUCUUAUUCAAAAUUAUGAUUAAAAUAUAAAGUAAAAAUAACCAAAAAAAGAAAAUAUAGCAGCAAGAAGAGGUAAAAUCAAAAUACAUUACUCAUAAGCUAAUCUUUUCUCCUUUUCAGAAAAACAAAUGCGCCCACUCAGGCUUUGGGGAGGGUAGAAUGUACGCAGACCUAACAACUAUCUCGUGGAGGUAGAGAGGUAAUUUCCGAAAGACUCACAGCUCAAGUGCAACAAAUCUAGGUACAAAUAAGACACAGACAAUGACAACAAAAAUAGUACGACAGUUGAAAUAUCAAAACAAGAACUACAAUAAUACUAGUAUAAGAAUACUAGUUGGUAAAAUAUCUUUUCUUUCCUAAGCAAUAUAUAAGAUCCAAUACAGUGUACAACGAUCAUCCUUCAAUCCUACAACUCUUUAUUCUAUCCCUCAAUAUGGACAAUUCCCUAAACUUUAAUCUUAAAAGCAUAUGCCUAAACUAAAGGAAUCAUUUACGCAAGAUGAAUUUUCAUUUCUCUCGAAAAAAAUCCUCAAUUUAUGUUAGUACAAUGCUGAAAUACAAAAGAAGUAGAUUAGGUAGCCAAUCCAUUUCACGCAGUAAAUUGCUUGUAAUAUGAUCACUAAACAAUUUUAGAGGGACAAAGCUAGUUAACAAUAAUAUAUUCCAGAGAAAUGUGUAACAGUUAACAUGAUGUUACAAGAUUUCAAUUAGGUCGCCAAGUGGUAUUUCAGUUCAACUUCUACUGUAGGCCAUUAAACUGGUAAAUCAAUCAUUUUCUUGCUGAUAAUGUGAUAGCUAUCUGUAUUUUACAUGAUGUUGUAUAGAUCACUUAAGAUCAAAAAUACAAAAUGAUAACAAAAGUAACAGGAGGUAAUCAUAACACAGUUCGCGGGAGAAGCCAUAAGAUGUACAGCAGCACUAAGAUUAUAUCACACAGAUAGAAAGCAUAUUUGACCUCUAAUAUACACAAUUACAUAAAGUAAAUGCUAUAUGUAUUCCGUCAUACUAUUCUAUGAACUACUAUGAUAAAUUGGUGCCGAAAAAGAAAAAAUGCAAAAGAAACAAACAGAAGAAAAGUGUACAUGCAAUAACAAAUCUGAAGCCAGCACAGAUUUCACCGAGAAACAUUAAAGUAAUUUUCUUUAACUCAAGUACAGAAGCAAAAUUGUUUGCCAACAGUACUUCAAAGUGUAACAUCAAAUCCAAGACAAUAUGCUUCCUAGUAAAGAAAAGAAUCGUGAAGAAAAGAAACUCCAAUAACUCGCAAGGAAAGAUUUGUGAACCAGAAAAAAAAAAAAACUAAGAAAAUACGAAACUAAAUGAAACGUAUAUUUAAUUAAGUAUGAAGAGAACAACAUUACGCACCUGAAAAACGAAGCAACGGCAUUUCCACAAUGCUGUGAGUGUAAUUGCAUACCACAUCUAUUAUAAACUUGUGAUCAGGAAAAAGUUCUGCAAGGGAAUUGAAAAAGGCAAAACAAAAAAUGAUUCCGAUCAGCAAGCUGCGAGAUAAAAUAUUCAAUAAAGAAUAAAAGGAAACGUAUCGGAAAACGCAGUUAGUUUAGAAGCAAAGGUGAAAAUUGAGUUUAGCUUUCAACAAAGAUAAGCAUAUGAUAUUAAAUAUUAUUUUUUCUUCUUUCUCAGGAACCAAAAAGAAAAAAACUGUGAAUUGAACCACCGCCAUGAGAGGAAAGAACAAACAUUGCGAGUUCAUCCUGGAGUGAUCGAUCGAAAAGUUUAUCGGACAAUUCGAGGAGAAGAUGAAGAAAGAAUUGAAAGAAGAGAAUUCGAUUUGUGUUCGAAACAGUAGGUUUCACAUAGAAUAGAGAGAGGAAAUGAAUAGAGACGGGAAAAACAAUAUAUGCGUGAGCUGUGAAGGAUAAAAAGGACGGGGAAAUUGGGAUGAGAAACCCGAAGCAGAGUGGGGCAGGGGGUUGAGAAAAUUCUGGGGACUGCUGCUGUUUCCUGGUGGCGCCCCAAUGGUGAUUAUUUUAUGGCGUUAUUAUAUGCUUUUCUGGGGACUUCUUGUUUUAU
RNAcentral lists this long non-coding RNA (17856 nucleotides) under Solanum tuberosum (potato). Its description in RNAcentral is "long non-coding RNA (STUB_LNC005169)". The record is from RNAcentral. Lineage: Eukaryota; Viridiplantae; Streptophyta; Magnoliopsida; Solanales; Solanaceae.